Molecule: ribosomal RNA, 398 nt
Filed under: Salmonella enterica subsp. enterica serovar Brandenburg
Lineage: Bacteria; Pseudomonadati; Pseudomonadota; Gammaproteobacteria; Enterobacterales; Enterobacteriaceae
Description: partial 23S ribosomal RNA
Rfam family: Bacterial large subunit ribosomal RNA
Source: RNAcentral
AGACCCGAAACCCGGUGAUCUAGCCAUGGGCAGGUUGAAGGUUGGGUAACACUAACUGGAGGACCGAACCGACUAAUGUUGAAAAAUUAGCGGAUGACCUGUGGCUGGGGGUGAAAGGCCAAUCAAACCGGGAGAUAGCUGGUUCUCCCCGAAAGCUAUUUAGGUAGCGCCUCGUGAAUUCAUCUCCGGGGGUAGAGCACUGUUUCGGCUAGGGGGCCAUCCCGGCUUACCAACCCGAUGCAAACUGCGAAUACCGGAGAAUGUUAUCACGGGAGACACACGGCGGGUGCUAACGUCCGUCGUGAAGAGGGAAACAACCCAGACCGCCAGCUAAGGUCCCAAAGUCAUGGUUAAGUGGGAAACGAUGUGGGAAGGCCCAGACAGCCAGGAUGUUGGCU